CAGUCGCCGCGGGAAUACGUAGGUGGCAAGCGUCGUCCGGAAUUAUUGGGCGUAAAGGGCUCGCAGGCGGUUUCUUAAGUCUGAUGUGAAAGCCCCCGGCUCAACCGGGGAGGGUCAUUGGAAACUGGGAAACUUGAGUGCAGAAGAGGAGAGUGGAAUUCCACGUGUAGCGGUGAAAUGCGUAGAGAUGUGGAGGAACACCAGUGGCGAAGGCGACUCUCUGGUCUGUAACUGACGCUGAGGAGCGAAAGCGUGGGGAGCGAACAGGAUUAGAUACCCCGGUAGUCCCUGUCUCUUAUAC
This 301-nucleotide ribosomal RNA is filed under the name uncultured bacterium. RNAcentral describes it as "partial 16S ribosomal RNA". It matches the Rfam family "Bacterial small subunit ribosomal RNA", at positions 509 to 807 of the family's 1533-position model. The record is from RNAcentral.